Molecule: ribosomal RNA, 465 nt
Filed under: uncultured soil bacterium
Lineage: Bacteria
Description: bacterial SSU rRNA
Rfam family: Bacterial small subunit ribosomal RNA
Source: RNAcentral
AGGACGAACGCUGGCGGCGUGCUUAACACAUGCAAGUCGAGCGGAAAGGCCUUUCGGGGUACUCGAGCGGCGAACGGGUGAGUAACACGUGAGUAAUCUGCCCAUCGCUUCAGGAUAGCCAUCGGAAACGGUGAUUAAUACUGGAUAUGACAUUCCUUCGCAUGUUGGGGUGUGGAAAGUUUUUUCGGCGGUGGAUGUGCUCGCGGCCUAUCAGCUUGUUGGUGGGGUAAUGGCCUACCAAGGCUUUGACGGGUAGCCGGCCUGAGAGGGUGACCGGCCACGACUGGGACUGAGACACGGCCCAGACUCCUACGGGAGCAGCAGUGGGGAAUAUUGGACAAUGGGACGGAAGCCUGAUCCAGCAACGCCGCGUGAGGAUGACGGCCUUCGGGUUGUAACCGUCUUCAGCACAGACGAAGUUUGUCUUUUUAGGUGUAAGUGACGGUAUGUGCAGAAGAAGGACCG